Long non-coding RNA from Homo sapiens (human), 512 nucleotides. RefSeq annotates it as EGFLAM antisense RNA 1. NCBI's taxonomy places the organism in Eukaryota, Metazoa, Chordata, Mammalia, Primates, Hominidae. The record is from RefSeq and is marked validated. The transcript is spliced from 2 exons.
AGAAGAUAAGCAUGUAGAGAAGACAGGAUGAGUGUGAGCUGUUGAAUGGCGAUUUGGUUUUUUUCUGAAGCAGUUACUAUUUGCCUUUUUAAGGGAAAGAGUCCCAGAAGUUUUCAGCCCUCACCUGAGGACACCGGUCCCAGAGCCACAGUCAAAGCGGAACUCCACGUGGCCCCCUGCCAAGUUGAUGGACAGGAAGUCUUUGCUGCCUGUGUCAUAGCUGUACAGGAGGACACCAUCUCCUGAGUCUGGCCGAAAUGUGAUCUCAAAUUCCAUGAAGGAAAGUGUCGACCUUUAAACCCAAGGGGACAGAGGCAAAUGUAGGAGUCGGCUUUGAUUGCUGUGCAGGUGCCACCAUGGAUGCACGAGGCCUCAUCACAGAUUCCACUGCUGCAUUCCCCUAAAUACAGAAUGGGAAUUACAAAGCCAAUCCUCCAUGUGUGCCAGUCCAACACAGUGGCGCUGACCCCACCAGCAGCUCAUGGUUCUGAAUAAAUACAUUUCAGUUCUUA